GGAAGGGUGGCCGAGUGGUUUAAGGCACCGGUCUUGAAAACCGGCGUGCCCGCAAGGGUACCGUGGGUUCGAAUCCCACCCCUUCCGCCA
RNAcentral lists this transfer RNA (90 nucleotides) under Bradyrhizobium japonicum. Its description in RNAcentral is "tRNA-Ser (TGA) (tRNA-Ser-TGA-1-1)". It matches the Rfam family "tRNA". Rfam says of the family: Transfer RNA (tRNA) molecules are approximately 80 nucleotides in length. Their secondary structure includes four short double-helical elements and three loops (D, anti-codon, and T loops). Further hydrogen bonds mediate the characteristic L-shaped molecular structure. tRNAs have two regions of fundamental functional importance: the anti-codon, which is responsible for specific mRNA codon recognition, and the 3' end, to which the tRNAs corresponding amino acid is attached (by aminoacyl-tRNA synthetases). tRNAs cope with the degeneracy of the genetic code in two manners: having more than one tRNA (with a specific anti-codon) for a particular amino acid; and 'wobble' base-pairing, i.e. permitting non-standard base-pairing at the 3rd anti-codon position. Lineage: Bacteria; Pseudomonadati; Pseudomonadota; Alphaproteobacteria; Hyphomicrobiales; Nitrobacteraceae. RNAcentral also lists the same sequence under 653 other names. The record is from RNAcentral.